This 737-nucleotide ribosomal RNA is filed under the name marine sponge bacterium liquidOTU6. RNAcentral's name for it is "bacterial SSU rRNA". It matches the Rfam family "Bacterial small subunit ribosomal RNA", at positions 86 to 818 of the family's 1533-position model. The record is from RNAcentral.
GGCUGACGAGUGGCGGACGGGUGAGUAAUGCUUAGGAAUCUGCCCAGUAGCGGGGGACAACCUGGUGAAAACCAGGCUAAUACCGCAUACGCCCUACGGGGGAAAGCAGGGGAUCUUCGGACCUUGCACUAUUGGAUGAGCCUAAGUCAGAUUAGCUUGUUGGUGGGGUAAUGGCCUACCAAGGCGACGAUCUGUAGCUGGUCUGAGAGGACGAUCAGCCACACUGGAACUGAGACACGGUCCAGACUCCUACGGGAGGCAGCAGUGGGGAAUAUUGCACAAUGGGCGCAAGCCUGAUGCAGCAAUGCCGCGUGUGUGAAGAAGGCCUGCGGGUUGUAAAGCACUUUCAGUAAGGAGGAAAAGUAUGUAGUUAAUAACUGCGUACCCUGACGUUACUUACAGAAGAAGCACCGGCUAACUCCGUGCCAGCAGCCGCGGUAAUACGGAGGGUGCGAGCGUUAAUCGGAAUUACUGGGCGUAAAGCGUGCGUAGGCGGCACGGUCAGUCGGAUGUGAAAGCCCAGGGCUUAACCUUGGAAUUGCAUUCGAUACUGCCGAGCUAGAGUAUGUUAGAGGAAAGUGGAAUUCCCGGUGUAGCGGUGAAAUGCGUAGAUAUCGGGAGGAACAUCAGUGGCGAAGGCGACUUUCUGGAUCAAUACUGACNCUNAGGUACNAAAGCGUGGGGAGCAAACAGGAUUAGAUACNCCUGGUAGUCCACGCCCUAAACGAUGUCAACUA